AGGCUCUUAGCUCAGUUGGUAGAGCUCCCGCCUUACAAGCGGAUUGUCAUCGGUUCGAGUCCGGUAGGGCCUA
Molecule: transfer RNA, 73 nt
Filed under: Microthamnion kuetzingianum
Lineage: Eukaryota; Viridiplantae; Chlorophyta; Trebouxiophyceae; Microthamniales; Microthamniaceae
Also listed under: 1 other name
Description: tRNA-Val
Rfam family: tRNA
About the family: Transfer RNA (tRNA) molecules are approximately 80 nucleotides in length. Their secondary structure includes four short double-helical elements and three loops (D, anti-codon, and T loops).
Source: RNAcentral